AGCUCCAAUAGCGUAUAUUAAUGUUGUUGCAGUUAAAAAGCUCGUAGUUGAAUUUAGGAAGGUCAACCUUCCUGUCUGCCCUCCUCAUGGCAACUGAUAUUGCUAUGUGGAACAGACUUUUACUGUGAGAAAACUAAAGUGCUCAAAGCAGGCUAACGCUUGAAUAUUAAAGCAUGGAAUAAUAAAAUAGGACUUAAUUCUAUUAUUGGUCAUUGGAUUAAGUAAUGAUUAACAGAAACAGUUGGGGGCAUUCGUAUUUAAUUGUCAGAGGUGGAAUUCUUGGAUUAAUUAAAGACGAACUAGUGCGAAAGCAUUUGCCAAGGAUGUUU
Molecule: ribosomal RNA, 329 nt
Filed under: uncultured eukaryote
Lineage: Eukaryota
Description: SSU rRNA
Rfam family: Eukaryotic small subunit ribosomal RNA
Source: RNAcentral